This 460-nucleotide ribosomal RNA is filed under the name uncultured bacterium. Its description in RNAcentral is "partial 16S ribosomal RNA". It matches the Rfam family "Bacterial small subunit ribosomal RNA", at positions 338 to 795 of the family's 1533-position model. The record is from RNAcentral.
CCUACGGGUGGCAGCAGUGAGGAAUAUUGGUCAAUGGGCGAGAGCCUGAACCAGCCAAGUCGCGUGUAGGAUGACGGCCCUACGGGUUGUAAACUUCUUUUGUCAGGGCGCAAUUGAGUCCACGUGUGGUCUUAGCGAGAGUACCUGCAGUAAAAGCAUCGGCUAACUCCGUGCCAGCCGCCGCGGUAAUACUGAGGAUGCGAGCGUUCUCCGGAUUUAUUGGGUUUACAGGGUGCGUAGGCGGAAUAUCAAGUCAGCGGUAAAAAUUCGGGGCUCAACCCCGUCGUGCCGUUGAAACUGAUGGUCUUGAGUGGGCGAGAAGGAGGCGGAAUGCGUGGUGUAGCGGUGAAAUGCAUAGAUAUCACGCAGAACUCCGAUGGCGAAGGCAGCAUACCGGCGCCCAACUGACGCUGAAGCACGAAAGCGUGGGUAGCGAACAGGAUUAGAUACCCCAGUAGUC